RNAcentral lists this ribosomal RNA (253 nucleotides) under uncultured bacterium. RNAcentral describes it as "partial 16S ribosomal RNA". It matches the Rfam family "Bacterial small subunit ribosomal RNA", at positions 524 to 776 of the family's 1533-position model. The record is from RNAcentral.
UACGAAGGGGGCUAGCGUUGCUCGGAAUCACUGGGCGUAAAGCGCACGUAGGCGGAUUGUUAAGUCAGGGGUGAAAUCCUGGAGCUCAACUCCAGAACUGCCUUUGAUACUGGAGAGCUUGAGUCCGGGAGAGGUGAGUGGAACUCCGAGUGUAGAGGUGAAAUUCGUAGAUAUUCGGAAGAACACCAGUGGCGAAGGCGGCUCACUGGCCCGGUACUGACGCUGAUGUGCGAAAGCGUGGGGAGCAAACAGG